CACAAUCUGCCGUGCCGACAACGACAAGCUGCGCAUACGUAGUGUGAUCUGACUGUAGGUGAAUAGCAGGAUUUGCAACCAGUAACUUCUUGAAAGAUGGCGUACAAGGUGGUUCUUCUGUUCCUGGCCCUGAUGUUGUUUGUGGGGGCGUGUCGCUCACAGGAAAUGGUGGGCGACGAGGACGCCUUCAACGCCCUGCGAGACCUGAUGCUGAGAGAGGCCAGGGGAAGUAACAGCAGAAACGCCCAAGUUUUGUGCGUCAUUACCAGCAGGACCGUCUGCUACUGUGACGAGAAGGGCAGAAAGCCUUUCUGUGUCCCUCGCAAAUAGCAAAUUGGAAA
Molecule: long non-coding RNA, 341 nt
Organism: Patiria miniata (bat star)
Lineage: Eukaryota; Metazoa; Echinodermata; Asteroidea; Valvatida; Asterinidae
Exons: 3
Source: RefSeq, a predicted model, not a curated record